Molecule: long non-coding RNA, 234 nt
Organism: Ixodes scapularis (black-legged tick)
Lineage: Eukaryota; Metazoa; Arthropoda; Arachnida; Ixodida; Ixodidae
Exons: 3
Source: RefSeq, a predicted model, not a curated record
AUGUGGCCAGCACCCGUCGCCUCAAGUGCAGCGUCAAGAUGCUGACUCACCCUGCAUCAACGAUAACUACUCAACGGGACCACGUGGCUUCGUGACGUCUACACCGUUCCCGACAGCAGCGACAUCACCUACAAAAGCCGCGUCCCAACUGGAUUUUGCCAGUGGGCAUGGUAGCGCAUCUCGGAGCAUGACGACUAAAUGGCUCUUCCUGAUUACGCAGCAGACAUGUAUUCA